Pelobates cultripes (western spadefoot toad) is the source of this 371-nucleotide non-coding RNA. The record is from the annotation of a GenBank genome assembly. Lineage: Eukaryota; Metazoa; Chordata; Amphibia; Anura; Pelobatidae.
GUGGUGUACCACAAGAGUUCCUGGGGAUCCCCCGCGGUAGGGUAUGGCUGCAAAUCUUAGUUGAGAGGUGACUGGCCCCAGUGAUUUCCGCCAGACCAGAGUGUUUUUUGUGAGGUCUUGAUAAAAUGUUUGCGAGGAGCCUUUGAAAGUCAGAGGUGCCUUAUUCCUCAGUGCCAUCAUGAUCUGGUUUUUGUCUUGUGAGGUUAAGCAGCGAAGAAUGACGUCUCGUGCUCCUCCAGUUGGUGUUUUAAGUGCACUCGUAAUGCGAUACACUCCGUCCAUGACCAUUUUUUUGGCAGUUGUGUGGGGUAGUAUGGAUGCAAAUAAUCUGCGAGUAUAAUGUGGGAGUUCGUCCGCUGUCACAGCAGCAG